RNAcentral lists this long non-coding RNA (294 nucleotides) under Medicago truncatula (barrel medic). RNAcentral's name for it is "lncRNA gene31950". Lineage: Eukaryota; Viridiplantae; Streptophyta; Magnoliopsida; Fabales; Fabaceae. The record is from RNAcentral.
GACCAACUUCCACUUCCACCUAUAACGUUGUUCCUACGGUUGCGGUUGUAUUUCCACAUUUCCCAUUUUACCCUUUCAUCAGAAUCCCCAUAUUCCGAAUUACUCCCAACUUCCAUUUCCUCUUCUACCCUCAUUAUAUUCUCAAUUUCCCAUAUUACCCCUGAUUCAGCUUCUUCCCCCUCACAGUCACACUCAUACUCUUCAUUUUCCAUUGUUGCUUCUUCUUUUUGUUCAGACGAAAUUGCCCUCACUUCAAUCCAAUCUUCCGUUUCCCAAUUUACCCUCAUUCCCGUU